GAAAGUGUGGCAGAGUGGUUAUUGCGGCAGACUGUAAAUCUGUGGUUAAAUACCUUAUCAGUUCAAAUCUGAUCACUUUCA
Molecule: transfer RNA, 81 nt
Filed under: Nuclearia simplex
Lineage: Eukaryota; Rotosphaerida; Nucleariidae
Description: tRNA-Tyr
Rfam family: tRNA
About the family: Transfer RNA (tRNA) molecules are approximately 80 nucleotides in length.
Source: RNAcentral